Molecule: ribosomal RNA, 555 nt
Filed under: uncultured bacterium
Lineage: Bacteria
Description: bacterial SSU rRNA
Rfam family: Bacterial small subunit ribosomal RNA
Source: RNAcentral
CCCACUGGAAAUUUUCAUCAUGAGAUGAAGAAAUGUCCCUUCCGAGAACCCUGACAUCAGGUGCUGCAUUGACAUCCGCCAGCUCCAGUUUUAAUGAAAUGUUGGGUUAAUUCCCGCAACGGCGGUAAACCCUUAUCCUUUUUCCCAGGCGUCGGCCGGGAACUCAAAGGAGACUGCCAGUGAUAAACUGGAGGAAGGUGGGGAUGACGUCAAGUCAUCAUGCCCUUACGACCAGGGCUACACCGUGCUACAAUGCGCAUACAAAGAGAAGCGACCUCGCGAGAGCAAGCGGACCUCAUAAAGUGCGUCGUAGUCCGGAUUGGAGUCUGCAACUCGACUCCAUGAAGUCGGAAUCGCAUAGUAAUCGUGGAUCAGAAUGCACCGGUGAAUACGUUCCCGGGCAUUGUACACACCGCCCGUCACACCAUGGGAGUGGGUUGCGAAAGAAGUAGGUAGCUUAACUUCGGGAGGGCGCUUACCACUUUGUGAUUCAUGUGGGUGGUCGUCCGGUCCUCCUGUGGUUCGCGGCCGCUGCGGUCGCCUUGGGGGUCCAGG